RNAcentral lists this ribosomal RNA (253 nucleotides) under uncultured bacterium. RNAcentral describes it as "partial 16S ribosomal RNA". It matches the Rfam family "Bacterial small subunit ribosomal RNA", at positions 524 to 776 of the family's 1533-position model. The record is from RNAcentral.
UACGUAGGGGGCUAGCGUUGUCCGGAAUCAUUGGGCGUAAAGAGCGUGUAGGCGGUCCGGUAAGUCCGCUGUGAAAGUUGGGGGCUCAACCCUCGAAUGCCGGUGGAUACUGUCGGGCUAGAGUGCGGAAGAGGCGAGUGGAAUUCCUGGUGUAGCGGUGAAAUGCGCAGAUAUCAGGAGGAACACCAAUUGCGAAGGCAGCUCGCUGGGACGUAACUGACGCUGAGACGCGAAAGCGUGGGGAGCAAACAGG